GAGGACCGGCAUCGGCUAGCCAGGAGAUUGGCUAAUGUGUAGUGGUUUAGUGUUGAAAAAAAAAAUGAAAACACGAAAUGACUCCAUUUUACGGCAUUUUAAACAUGGAGCAUCCAGGAGAACAGAGCAUUUUAUUUUGAAGUGGACCCCACCCCCCGCGGGCUGAAGUGAUCUGAACGUCGCCGGCGAUGGUGGACGGUAGCCUCGGAGCGCUCCGUGGCCAGCCUCAGCUUCGCCCCGUGAGAUGUCGCUGCGCAGUACCGGCAGGCGCAGAGAAGGAGAGCCGGAGCGGCGUGCGAGCCACGGCGGCGUGCCCUCUGCUUGUUCGCCUGUCGCUGCCGGCGGCGGGCCUGGAGGGGGCUCCGGGGGCGGCAGCCAUGCGGCGGCGGCGGCGGCGGCGGCGGUGGUGGUGGCCGGGG
Long non-coding RNA from Frankliniella occidentalis (western flower thrips), 419 nucleotides. RefSeq lists it as uncharacterized. The record is from RefSeq and is a predicted model, not a curated record. Lineage: Eukaryota; Metazoa; Arthropoda; Insecta; Thysanoptera; Thripidae. The transcript is spliced from 3 exons.